GGGCUUGUACUGGUUUCGACGGGGGCUUUGAAGUUGAGGAAGCCAUUCGCAGACUCCGGAACUGCGUCAUCAAUCUGGAACUUAAAUUUAAACGCAGACGAAAAUUACGCGUUAGCAGCCUAAUGCUGCUCGUCAGCCUGAGUGCACUCACACAUUCAGUGUCUGGCGUCGAACUUGUGAGAAACCUUACUGGUUAAGCUUUGCACCAGUAGAUGUAUGAUGAAGCUACCGAAGCUGUAAGCCUGUCGCCGGGCGUAUGGCCGGGGGAAUCCUAAAACAGCGACUGUAAUGGGAGAUGCCGCAAGGGAGAGGCUUUCGGACGCGGGUUCAAUUCCCGCCAGGUCCACUA
Non-coding RNA from Blautia sp. An249, 349 nucleotides. It matches the Rfam family "transfer-messenger RNA". Rfam says of the family: Bacterial tmRNA, also known as 10Sa RNA or SsrA, is named for its dual tRNA and mRNA-like properties. Its role is to liberate the mRNA from a stalled ribosome. The record is from Rfam. NCBI's taxonomy places the organism in Bacteria, Bacillati, Bacillota, Clostridia, Lachnospirales, Lachnospiraceae.